AGAGUUUGAUCAUGGCUCAGAACGUACGCUGGCGGCACGCCUAACACAUGCAAGUCGAACGAAGUAGCAAUACUUAGUGGCAGACGGGUGAGUAACAUGUAGGUAUCGGCCCUUUGGCCUGGAAUAACACGAGGAAACUUGUGCUAAUACUGGAUAAGUCUUUACGGAGAAAGCUUUAUGCACCAUUGGAUGAGCCUGCACUUGAUUAGUUUGUUGGUGGGGUAAUGGCCUACCAAGACUGUGAUCAAUAGCUGAUUUGAGAGGAUGAUCAGCCACAUUGGGACUGAGACACGGCCCAAACUCCUACGGGAGGCAGCAGUGGGGGAUCUUGCACAAUGGAGGAAACUCUGAUGCAGCGAUGCCGCGUGAGUGAAGAAGGCCCUUGGGUUGUAAAGCUCUUUCGUCGGGGAAGAAAAUGACUGUACCCGAAUAAGAAGGUCCGGCUAACUUCGUGCCAGCAGCCGCGGUAAUACGAAGGGACCUAGCGUAGUUCGGAAUUACUGGGCUUAAAGAGUUUGUAGGUGGUUGAAAAAGUUGGUGGUGAAAUCCCAGAGCUUAACUCUGGAACUGCCAUCAAAACUUUUCAGCUAGAGUAUGAUAGAGGAAAGUAGAAUUUCUAGUGUAGAGGUGAAAUUCGUAGAUAUUAGAAAGAAUACCGAUUGCGAAGGCAGCUUUCUGGAUCAUUACUGACACUGAGGAACGAAAGCAUGGGUAGCGAAGAGGAUUAGAUACCCUCGUAGUCCAUGCCGUAAACGAUGUGUGUUAGACGUUGGAAAUUUAUUUUCAGUGUCGCAGCGAAAGCGAUAAACACACCGCCUGGGGAGUACGACCGCAAGGUUAAAACUCAAAUGAAUUGAC
Molecule: ribosomal RNA, 858 nt
Filed under: uncultured Alphaproteobacteria bacterium
Lineage: Bacteria; Pseudomonadati; Pseudomonadota; Alphaproteobacteria
Description: bacterial SSU rRNA
Rfam family: Bacterial small subunit ribosomal RNA
Source: RNAcentral